RNAcentral lists this transfer RNA (73 nucleotides) under Obscurella hidalgoi. Its description in RNAcentral is "tRNA-Lys". The record is from RNAcentral. Lineage: Eukaryota; Metazoa; Mollusca; Gastropoda; Architaenioglossa; Cochlostomatidae.
CCUCAGAUGACUGAAAUAUAAGUGUUAGACUUUUAAUCUAAAAAUGGUGUCAAUAUUAGGACAUCUCUGGGGG